GCCUGGGUGGCUCAGUCGUCUAAGCAUCUGACUUUGGCUCAGGUCAUGAUCUUGCGGUUUGUGGGUUCAAGCCCCAUGUUGGGCU
RNAcentral lists this transfer RNA (85 nucleotides) under Felis catus (domestic cat). It matches the Rfam family "tRNA". From Rfam's summary of the family: Transfer RNA (tRNA) molecules are approximately 80 nucleotides in length. Their secondary structure includes four short double-helical elements and three loops (D, anti-codon, and T loops). Lineage: Eukaryota; Metazoa; Chordata; Mammalia; Carnivora; Felidae. The record is from Rfam by way of RNAcentral.